UACGUAUGUCGCGAGCGUUAUCCGGAAUUAUUGGGCUUAAAGGGCAUCUAGGCGGCAUAACAAGUUGAAGGUGAAAAACUUAGGCUCAACCAAAGUCUUGCCUACAAAACUGUAAUGCUAGAGUACUGGAAAGGUGGGUGGAACUACACGAGUAGAGGUGAAAUUCGUAGAUAUGUGUAGGAAUGCCGAUGAUGAAGAUAACUCACUGGACAGCUACUGACGCUGAAGUGCGAAAGCUAGGGGAGCAAACAGG
Molecule: ribosomal RNA, 253 nt
Filed under: uncultured prokaryote
Description: partial 16S ribosomal RNA
Rfam family: Bacterial small subunit ribosomal RNA
Source: RNAcentral